AUCAUGCAUUCAUGUUUCAGCCAACAUAAUCAACACCUUAAACUACUAACAUCAAGCAACGUCGCAUCACAACAACCACCACCACCAUAAUCGCCACCAUCAUAACAGUCACUAUAAUACCAACCAUCACAAUUAUCACCACCAAUAAUAUUAAUCACUAACAUCAAUCAUUGUCACCGCAACCACCAUUAUAAGCCAUCUCCACUAUCACUAACAAACAUAAAUAUUUUUUCUCAAUCAAAUACUAAUAAUUUUAUUGUAUUAAAUUACAUACUUUUUAAUAUAUAAUUAAUUUUUUAUUU
Molecule: long non-coding RNA, 302 nt
Filed under: Capsicum annuum
Lineage: Eukaryota; Viridiplantae; Streptophyta; Magnoliopsida; Solanales; Solanaceae
Description: long non-coding RNA (CANN_LNC014531)
Source: RNAcentral